GCCACAAAUCUAGCUUUACACACACCACAGACCCUCCCACACACUACCUAUUUAUGAUAAAACAUUUUCAUGUCUUAGUAGAGGCGAUCAAAAAAUUACUAAACGCUUCAGAACUAGUACCGCAAGGGAAAGAUGAAAUAAAAAUGAAAUAGUUUAAAGCCAGAAACAGCAGAGACCCCCCCCUCGUACCUUUUGCAUCAUGGUCUAACUAGUCCCCUCAGGGAAAACGAAAUUUAAGUCUGACCCCCCGAAACUAAGCGAGCUACUUCAAAACAGCCUGGCAGGGCCAACCCGUCUCUGUUGCAAUAAAGUGGGAAGAUUUUCAAGUAACGAUGACAAGUCUACCGGGCUUAAAGAUAGCUGGGUACUCAAAAAAAGAAUAUUAGUUCUGCCUUAAACUUUCUUAUUAUAAAUAAAAACAAACUAAGUUUAAGAGUUACUCAAAUAAGGGACAGCUUAUUUGAACCUGGAUACAACCUCUUCUACAGGGCCCACCCAACCUCCCCCAACCAAGUAGGCCUAAUACCAGCCACCUUUCAAAAAGCGUUACAGCUUCUCUACCCCCCCCCCCCCCCUAAUACCUCCCCCACCCGUCAACCCUACUCCCCCAUUGAGUAAUUCUAUUCCUCAUAGAAAUUAUAAUGUUAGAACUAGUAACAAGAAAACGAUUUUCUCCUUAAUGCAUGCUUAAAUCAUACGGACAAGCCACUGAUAAUUAACGUUUACUGAUCCCACUAUAACAACCCCCCCCCGAAAACACUAUUCCCCUAAACGUCUACCUCACACCAGAGCAUUUCAGGAAAGAUUAAAAGAAAAAGAAGGAACUCGGCAAACUUUGGCCCCGCCUGUUUACCAAAAACAUCGCCUCUUGCUUAAAAGUAUAAGAGGUCCCGCCUGCCCAGUGACAAAGUUCAACGGCCGCGGUACUCUGACCGUGCGAAGGUAGCAUAAUCACUUGUUCUUUAAUUGAGGACUCGUAUCAACGGCAUCACGAGGGCCACACUGUCUCCUUUUUCCAAUCAGUGAAACUGAUCUCCCCGUGAAGAAGCGGGGAUAAUCCUAUAAGACGAGAAGACCCCAUGGAGCUUUAAACCCAACAGCAACUCUGAAUAACUAAACCACAAAAAUUAAUUGAGCCCUGUAAUUGUUGGUUUUAGGUUGGGGUGACCGCGGAGCAUAGACAAACCUCCACGACGAACGGGACUAAACCCUAAUCCAUGAACUACUGUUCUAAGAAUCAAUACACUGACUUCUAAUGAUCCGAUCACUCGAUCAACGGACCAAGUUACCCUGGGGAUAACAGCGCUAUCCAUUUCAAGAGCCCCUAUCGACAAAUGGGUUUACGACCUCGAUGUUGGAUCAGGGUAUCCUAGUGGUGCA
RNAcentral lists this ribosomal RNA (1380 nucleotides) under Indirana cf. semipalmata Isem-In. RNAcentral's name for it is "partial 16S rRNA". It matches the Rfam family "Bacterial large subunit ribosomal RNA", at positions 267 to 2557 of the family's 2925-position model. The record is from RNAcentral. Lineage: Eukaryota; Metazoa; Chordata; Amphibia; Anura; Ranixalidae.